RNAcentral lists this ribosomal RNA (600 nucleotides) under Triticum aestivum (bread wheat). RNAcentral's name for it is "partial small subunit ribosomal RNA". Lineage: Eukaryota; Viridiplantae; Streptophyta; Magnoliopsida; Poales; Poaceae. The record is from RNAcentral.
AUGUCAUUGACCACCAAUGUCGAUGUGUUUAAGCCCCCCCGCAGAGGGUAUUACUGGAGCUAUUACAUCAUCACAAGUUCUCAAGAGCUAGAGUCCGCCCUGGCGCACCCUCUAGCGCAAACUUAUCCGGUGGUGCUCAUGUUCUGGGCGAGCUGGAACGAGCCAUGCAGGGUGAUGAUGAGACCCUUCAGGGCCAUGGCCGUGGCUAAGAGGAGGGCCGCCAUAUUCUGCCAGGUGGACGUCGACAAGUUCAAAGAUAUCGUGGAGCGGUACCGAGUGGAGGCGCUGCCGACAUUCCUGUUGCUCAAGCAAGGCAUGGAGAAGGGCAGGGUCGUCGGCGCCAAGGUGGUGCUCAUGUUCUGGGCGAGCUGGAACGAGCCAUGCAGGGUGAUGAUGAGACCCUUCAGGGCCAUGGCCGUGGCUAAGAGGAGGGCCGCCAUAUUCUGCCAGGUGGACGUCGACAAGUUCAAAGAUAUCGUGGAGCGAUACCGAGUGGAGGCGCUGCCGACGUUCCUGCUGCUCAAGCAAGGCAUGGAGAAGGGCAGGGUCGUCGGCGCCAAGGUCGGGGACCUCAGCACCAUCAUCAUGGCCAACAUAUAA